This 426-nucleotide ribosomal RNA is filed under the name uncultured Pseudomonadaceae bacterium. Its description in RNAcentral is "bacterial SSU rRNA". It matches the Rfam family "Bacterial small subunit ribosomal RNA", at positions 356 to 774 of the family's 1533-position model. The record is from RNAcentral. Lineage: Bacteria; Pseudomonadati; Pseudomonadota; Gammaproteobacteria; Pseudomonadales; Pseudomonadaceae.
GGGGAAUAUUGUACACUGGGCGAAAGCCCGAUCCAGCCAAACCCCGUGUGUGAAGAAGGCCUUCGGAUUGUAAAGCACUCUAAGCUGGGAGGAAGUGAAGUCAGUCAAUGCCUUGCAGGUUUCACGUUACCAACAGAAUAAGCACCGGCUAACUCCGAGCCAGCAGCCGCGGUAAUACGAAGGGUGCAAGCGUUAAUCGGAAUUACUGGGCGUAAAGCGCGCGUAGGUGGUUCAGCAAGUUGGAUGUGAAAUCCCCGGGCUCAACCUGGGAACUGCAUCCAAAACUACUGAGCUAGAGUACGGUAGAGGGUGGUGGAAUUUCCUGUGUAGCGGUGAAAUGCGUAGAUAUAGGAAGGAACACCAGUGGCGAAGGCGACCACCUGGAGUGAUACUGACACUGAGGUGCGAAAGCGUGGGGAGCAAACA